RNAcentral lists this ribosomal RNA (207 nucleotides) under uncultured bacterium. RNAcentral describes it as "partial 16S ribosomal RNA". It matches the Rfam family "Bacterial small subunit ribosomal RNA", at positions 568 to 774 of the family's 1533-position model. The record is from RNAcentral.
CAUGUAGGCGGAUUAAUAAGUUUGAAGUGAAAUCCUAUAGCUUAACUAUAGAACUGCUUUGAAAACUGUUAAUCUAGAAUGUGGGAGAGGUAGAUGGAAUUUCUGGUGUAGGGGUAAAAUCCGUAGAGAUCAGAAGGAAUACCGAUUGCGAAGGCGAUCUACUGGAACAUUAUCGACGCUGAGAUGCGAAAGCGUGGGGAGCAAACA